Molecule: long non-coding RNA, 551 nt
Organism: Prunus dulcis (almond)
Lineage: Eukaryota; Viridiplantae; Streptophyta; Magnoliopsida; Rosales; Rosaceae
Exons: 3
Source: RefSeq, a predicted model, not a curated record
UUUCAUUUAUAGCUGGUGUGCAGUCAAUAUCAAGUCUGCUAUCUCCAGUUGCCAUGAGUCCACUGACAUCAUGGUUUCUAUCUAGCAAUGCCCCUUUCAACUGCAAAGGUUUUAGCAUCAUAUGCGCAUCCAUAUGCAUGAUGGUUGCUUUUUGCAUUGCUUGCAAGCUUAAACUGGUCGAACGCUCUUCAGAGGAUAUUGAAACACCACUACUAACUGAUAGUUAAUUCUAUUUCUGCAUCCCAAGCUCUGCAUUGGUGGGAACUUCAUGUAGUGAAUCUUCCAAAGGAAAAUAUUAGAGACACCAAAGAGUUUUCCCCAGUCUCGCAUUAUCUGAGUCUCAUCAAAUGAUAAAAAUUAUGUAGAACCCAUGUAGGUUCCACUCUAUGUGUUGUGUUUAGAAGUUAAGUUAGAUAGAACUGCUCUCCACCAAAUACUUUGUGUAGUCCUUGGGCGGAUAUUGUAAAUAUUUUUUUGUUGUGGGGUAUUGUAAAUAUUUUACAUCCUUGAGCAAACUGAGUACGUUUUCCCCCAAAAACAUUUGUCCUCUA